Beta vulgaris subsp. vulgaris (sugar beet) is the source of this 97-nucleotide small nucleolar RNA. It matches the Rfam family "Small nucleolar RNA snoR31". Lineage: Eukaryota; Viridiplantae; Streptophyta; Magnoliopsida; Caryophyllales; Amaranthaceae. The record is from Rfam.
UUGAUAAGGAUGAGCCUAUGAAAUAUUAUAAUCCAACACUUGAUCUGACUUGUUAACACCAAGUGUGAAGUUCAAUUUUCAUUGCUCCUGAAUCUUC